UGCCCUUCCCCCGGCGCCUUCGCCCCCGCCCCAAGAUGGCCGCCCGCAGCAGCUUCAGCGGCAGCUCGAGGCCGUGCUCUGAUUGGCUGCCCCAGAACACCUGAUCAGCCACGCUGCGCUGAUUGGCCACUGCUGUGAGGGCAGCCCCAGCCUGGCAGCGGCGGCGGCGGCACCGCGGGGAGCCGGCGGCUGCGUUUCCCUGAGGGGAGCAGAACGGCCGCCAAGAUGGCGGCCAAAGCCCCGCUGCUGAGCUGGGAUGUUUUACCAAAAAAUGGUACUGAGGUAUUUUUCUCGCGAGAAACUUAUGAAAAAUACUCACUGGCUCCGAGCCUCUCUGAGCUAUGGACUUUGUCAAACAGACAGGCAAAGAAAAAGGUAGAGGUGUUGGCAAAUGCUUCAGAAGACAAACAGACCUGUAACAUGCAGGCUGCAGAUCCGGUUGAGGUGAAGGCUAAAACUACAGCUGAUGAUGAACCUUUUCCAGAACCUAGACUCCCCUAUCCAUUUACCUCUUGUUUGAGUGAGAAGGAGCAAAAAACAUAUUUAUAUCUGAUGACUAAGUACUCUAAAAAACCAAACCAUUUUCACGUUAAUGCAGCAAGUCAAAGAGAACUAUUCACAUAUAUGCAAAUGAAAGAAUUAGUAAACACUGAAAUUGCAGAAUUCAUGAAAUUUGCCCAAAAUGCUGCAAAAAGCUGUGCCCAAGACUACGAUACCAUCUCUGAAGAUGCACAACUUUAUAUUGAGCAAUUAUUAAGUGCUUGUAUUGGACAUGUGCAAAAGUAUCCUGAAUUUUACACGCUCCAGGAAAUCAUAAGUGUCAUGGGAGGAAAAUUUAACCCACAGUUGACCUUUAGGCUGGAAAAAAAUGUUCUUGCAAUGGGUACAGCAAAACGUGGUGAAACACAAUUCCCUGCCAUGCCUGUUCAGCUACCUGUAGAUUAUAAAACUGUUGCAUCUAUUAUAACUCCGGAAAAAAAGGCUUCUAUUAUGCACAGUGAUAUUAGUUCAGAUUCAAAUGCAGAAAAACUUGCUUUGAAAUACUGUCCUCAAGUUGUUUUAAGUAAUCAAUCAUUAUUUGCUUUACUGAAUAAUCAUGGACUAAACUACAAGGAACAGUGGGAAAUUCCAGUUUGUAUUAAAAUGAUCCCUGUUGUAGAUAGCAAACCAGCUAAAGUGAUUUAUGUUGACUCACCUCUCCUGAAAAAGGAAAUGACAAUAAGAGAGAGGAACCAAAUCUUCCAUGAAAUUCCAAUGGACUUCCUAGCAACUAAAAAGUCUUAUGUAUCAAUUUCUAAUAUAUUGAUGGACAAACCAGCUGAGGAGAAUAAUUUUCAGUGGGAGAUACCUUCUGACACCUACCAGUGCAGGAAGGUUCCCGUUCCAGAUGACCUAGGGAUGGAUUUUGAUGAUGAUGUUACAGAACUAGAAACUUUUGGAGCAGCAGUCAAACUCUCAAAGACUUCUAAAACAGAAAAUACUUUUCCUAGAGUUGGUAACACUGGUCCAGUUUUGUCACGUGAGCUGAAAAUGGACAAAAAAUUGACAUCUACCGUGAACAAUGGAGGUGAAGAGGGAAGAAAUACAGUUUCUGAGCAAGGAUUUUCAGCCAGCAAAGUACAGCUUCCAUCAUUUGGCAUUCUCUGCUCCAACCUUGAAGAAAAUUCAUCUCAUAAAAGCUUUCAUUCAGAGGAGGUAGAAUUGAACAAAGCACAGCACGUCAUGGCAAAGGAAGCAUCAGAAAAUGAAAUGAAAUUAAAUACUUUAUCUAAUGCUGUUGCUUUCAAGGAGGAGUCUGAGGCUGCACAAAAAAAUAAGAGUUGUGCUUCUUUGUGCAGUAGUGACACUGAUGAAGAUCGUUUGAUAAUUGAUACAGAAUGUAAAAAUAUUGAUUAUUGCAAAUCUGCUGUACCAAAUACUAUUUCCAGUACCUCAGCAGAGACUUCCAAAUCACCUUCCUCCAUCUGCAUUCCAUCAGAAGGCAUGGCUGAUUCCUCAGAUAACAUGGAUCAGGGGAAAAAUGCUUCCAGAAAGCCUACAAAAAGGUUGUCUAAAGAAUUUGAUCCAGUUGGACAGAUUUUGAAAAUGCAAACUGAACUCCUCAAGUCACCUUCCCGAAAAGCUCACGAGCAGACACCAGUGAGCUGUGACAAUUCUAACUCUGCAUCAGCCCCUGUGCCUCAGUCUCCAAAAUCAUCGGUGAUCUCCAACACGGAAACUGCACCAGGCCCUGCCUCAGAUCCCAGCAGCUCGUCUAGAAAUACCUGGACGUGGCUUUUCCAGGGACCUCCAAAGAGAAAGCUGCCGAAUGAACUUGAGAUGCUUGUUGAAGACCCUUCAGAGUAUACAGCACCUCAGGAUGGCAACCUCGUAUAUAAGCUAUUCAGUUUGGAUGAUCUGUUGUUACUUGUACGCUGCGAUGUGCAAAAAGUAAAGACAAGGCCACGAUCCCAUAAAAAGAAAACAGCCCAAAAGCCUAUUCCACUAUUCCUGUUGCCAAAACUAGAAUAUCAAGGCUAUUACGGUGUUGAAGCUCUUACAGAAAGUGAAGUAUGUCGACUGUGGACAGAAAGCAUGUUGCAUUCUGAAUGCGCAUUUUAUAUUGGACAUAUUGAUGCUUUUACAUCAAAGCUUAUUAUGCUAGAAAAGAUUUCUCCAGAAAUUUUAAGAGAAAAACUUGGAUUGAUUAAGCCUGCCAAUUCAUUAAAUAUACUUCAUCACAUCUUGAAGAAAGUGUCUGAUUUGCAGGAGGGCUCUUAUUUAUUGACGCAUGCUGCGGGAGAUUCAUCAGUUGCAAUCUAUAAGAGUUCCCUUGACAAGGCGACCAGAGCAUCCUAUAACUUGCAUAAGGCUCACUGCGAUCUGCCUGCUGUACCUGCCAGCCUGUCAGUCCCCUGGGUACCUCUGGAUCCCAGCCUCCCUUUACCCUAUCACAUGAGCCAUGGAAGAGUCCCAUGCACCUUUCCACCUGCACCCCAAGAGGCCGUGCGGAAACAGAAGAUGACUGGGGCAAAAGCACAACUGGACACACCCAGUGAGGGAAGGCCAGUAGCUAUGGAAACAAAAGGCAAUCCAGCUAAGCCUGUUAGAAAUGAAGGUGUGGCUGCAAAGAAACCGAAGAAGAAUUACUGCAAACAAAGACUGAAGAUGAAAAAAUGGAAAAUGAAAUAAAGGAAGUAGGAAUAGCCAAACCUUACUGAGCCUAGCAGCUGGAAGUCAGAGAAGAAUUGGUACUAUGUGACAAAACACCUACUCCUGUGUUGGCAUGUGGGAGCUACCAGCUAACAGCAAGUGACUCUAUCAGCCCCAUGCAGUGAAGUUUAAUAGCAAACACUGAACCAUUUGAAGAGGUGAAGGAUUGUCAUUGACAAAAAGCUGAUCACAACUACUCUGAAUCUCCUGGGGAUCCUCUGUCGAUAAUCUCAAGGCUACUCUAAUUUACAACUAAUUCUUCAAGGCAAACUUGUCCCCAGCCAUAAGACUGACAAGACACCAUUGCCCUAUACCUUGCAGUGUGUUUUUUUUUUUUUUUUAAUCCUUACAAAACUGCAACAAUAAGUUGCCAUUUUCUAAGUGGUUUGUAGAAUAACUUAGUGAAAUAAAUACACUAAGUACGUACAGUAUCAGUCUUAGUGCAGACUGCAGGGCGUUUGUUAGUAUUGAUACUUAGUUCUUCUGUGGAGUAGUAUGCUUACCCAAGGAGCCAAAAAAGGACAUGAAAGCUCCAUUGCUUCUCAAGGCAUCAUGGUAGUUUUGUAUGAAGUAUAACAGUAAAGGCAAUUCAAAGAAAAUUUAACCUUUCUUUUUAUUGUUCAUGAUGAAAAGAUGUCAAAAAAUAUUCAAAGUACAUUGCAAUUUUUAACUCCCAAAUUGGAGGGGCGGGGAGGGAGGGGAAAUAAUGUAAUUUAUAAAGACUGGAAAGAUGGGGCUAUCACCGAACCCAGCAGUAUAUUCCCUGAUUCCUUAAAAUAUAGCAGCCACAUCAUUCUGUUUAUUCACAGCAUGUUUUUAGAGUGUACAUUUAUUUCUUACAACUGCCCUAAUAGACAGUGACCAUUUGUUUAAUUUUCCAUUGGGCAGUAUUCUUGUUCAGAAGAGCCAAAAGGAAAACUAUACUAAUAUUGUUGAGCAAAGCAAUAUAAUCCAAUCAAACAAGCCAGCUUCCUUUAACUUCAGGGUGUCCCCAUCAUAGUUGUAUGGAUACAUUCAAAGCAACUUUUUCAAAAGAUGUGUGAAUGCAUCUCAGUUUCACUAAAAUUUACUCGGAGGUACUUACCUAAACAGUUUUCCACAUAUACGUAAGAUUUCCUGUUGUAAAGCGGUGUGAAUGGCUAGGAUGAUGUUACCUGCCUGUGCCUCAAAAAUAAGUGUGUACACCGUUAGUGCUUCUCAUUUCUUAAUUGCUGCCAAAUGAAUAUAAUUCAUGAAGAAGGAAGUAGAGCAAGCUCUACCACUCCAGAUAGUCAGUAUUGUUUGUACAAAGAUAAUGACUCUAAAAGUGUAAAUAAUUAGGAGUUUUAAUAAACCUUGACAUACUUCUGAGAGUUUUUUGAGUGUUUCAAGGGCAUUUCAAGCCUUUUAACGCUAAAUGUCAGGCGACUCAGGUUAUUGCUCAGUUUAACCCUAAACUGAGAGCUACACGCUCCCAUUCCCCACCACCAUGUUUUUCAAGGAAUCCUAGAUUCUCAUGUAAUUGCUGGGUUUUAGGAAGCGAUGCCUUCAGAAAAACAGCAAAUAGACUUGUGUAGCUAGUAAUACUGAUACUGCUGUGUUCAUGCAGUCAGUCCUUUGCUAGCAACUGCCCGUGUGAGCAUCAUGAGAAUAGAAAGAUUUGUACGUCUAGGUGGAAAAAGAGCUGGUGAAUUCCCCAGCAAAACAACAUCAAAAAUAAAGUAAGGCUGAAUGAAGAUCGAUUGUUAUCUAACUUCAGCUGGUGCACACUAGUACGGUCAUGAAUAGGAAUCUGUUGGCAACAUGGUUAUUCAACCAAAAUGUACUAAUAAUGUUGAUAAGGAGGUCACAGUAGUGUAGACUGCCUUUUCUCUGCACAGCCACAGUCGGAGAGUUUGGGCAUUUCCUUAUGAAGAUCUUCUGUGAUCCUGUAGUCCCUGCUUCUUUGUUCCUUUCAGAAUUUAUGCAGAGUUCUGUAUACAGGUAUCUUUAGAUGAUCAGCUGAAAGAAAGGAGAAAAAUAGACUAGCUUUUGCCCAAGCAAGUGUUUUUUCAGGCUUGAACCUGAAGUAGAAAAUGGCAAAUUAAGUACAUCUUGGAACAGAUCCAGUUGUUGGGAACAGUUGUUUCCAAUUUGUGUUUAGCUUGCUGUUUCUACCUUCACUUUCUGCUUUUAGGAAACACUUGUGUAAGUGAGAUCCUGUCUGUUUUCCCAAAUACAUCUAAAGAAGUCUUGUCCCUGUUAAUCUUGCCUCACCUGAAGUUGGCUGCUACCACUGUCACUGCUGUCUUCAGUGUAUCCAUGCCAUUUUCUUAGAGGAAUGAUGCAGCAUAGCUGGAGUUGCUGAGAUCCCGUAGUGCCUCCCAUAUCAAUUCUCCCUUCUGGUAUGCUUUAAUAUAGAGGGAUGGACACAAGGAUUUUCUGUAGAUAAAUUUGUAAAUAUCCAUGUUAAUACGGAAUGUAGCCAAAUUUAUUCUGUGAUAAAUACUUCUAAAGUAUUUUUUUUUCAGAAACCAUUUAAAACCAUCUACAGAAUAAAGUGAGAAUGUUUGCUUAGAAGUUCAUCACUGAAAAUUGGAUUUGGAGUAAUGAUGCAAGCUGAAAAAUAAGUCUGCUCACAAGGUCAUGGCUCUUAUCUUAAUGCAGACUUUGAGACUUGUUUAUCCAAUAGCUGAGUGAACACCUCUGUGCCAGUCCUCCUGUAAUUGAUGUGUCGCUACUUGCAAACCUCCACCUACUGAAUCUUUGCACAAGCAUUUCAGAUUAAAAAAAAAAUAGGAAGAAAGCAAAAAUAAUUUCUACUGAACUAAGUCACUCUUUGGUCUGUCUUUUCUGGGAUAUACUGCAUAGUAGACAGAGCACUUUAGCAUUUUACAAGUCUGGUCAAAUUCAAGCAUAAAAAGAGCGAAGAAAGAAGUUGUCGGUAUCCCAUUGUUCCUUACCCCUUCCACCAAGGAGACUGUAUAGCCAUGUUAAAAAUUACCUGAAUAGUCAAAACCCAUUUUUUUUCCAAACUGCAUAGGUAAUGCGUCUGGUACUGCAGUUGUGCAGUUCUGUUCCCUUGGUUCACAAAAGGAGCACAGUAGUCUACUGUAGCUAUCUGGGUGUUCUCUGUUAAUAUCUGAGUAAGGAAAUAAAAUGGAAGUAUAAAAUCUGUAGCUGGAUAGCUACAGAUGCUACUUUGAGAGGAUUUUGUAGUCAAAAAUUAGUAAGUGCUUAUAUCAUAAUUGAAGUUCUUUGGCAUCUUUGUGGAUAACCUAAGCAGAAUGCUCAAUAAAUUUGAUCAGAUUGACUGGUUUAAUCCAAAAGCCAAUGUAUUUAGGUCAAGAAAUCUGGAGAGUACAUUGCACUGAUGGUAUCAGUGGCCAUGGGGAAAAAGAAACUAAGAGGUCAAUAGACUUGUCAUUGUAGCCGGUUUUUGUUUUUAAUAACAAACAAUAGAUUUAUAUGCAGGUGCGUGAAUAAGUUUGUCUCCUGCCUUCUCCGGUGAAGAUAAAAAUCUGGCAUGGUAUCUCACCAUAUUUAUCAAAAGAAUGCAUUAUCUUGCAAUUGUAGAAGAUUUUUCCCUUGAGCCCAGAUAGACAGAUUGAGAAGAUAAAACAUCAUACAACUUUCUUUGGCUUUUAAAUACCAAAUAAAUUUCUUGCGGCUUCAUGUUGCUCUGUGUGCACACGUCAGACUAUGCCUUGAACUUCUAGCUUUCCUAUUCUAAAAACUAUCCUGAAAGCUUUCUUUGGUGCAGCCUCCAGCUCCACAGGAAGGAGGACAGCUGUCUGUCUCUCCAUGUCUUGUAGAUUGGUUAGCUAGUCUUGCUGACCUUUUCUCUGCUGCUUUAAAGUCAGUUAUUCUAUACGGAGUGAAGGUUGAUGGUUAUUGAUGUGUUAAUGACUUCCUGCAUGAUAGUAGCAUCAGGAAAGUAAACCUUAGUGUUGAAGACCUGUUUAAAAACCAUCUUUAGUUUUGCUAUCACGGCAGCCCUUUCCUUCAUUUCCUCAGGGUUCUGGAGCUGGUCCCUUUGGGAGCGCUAGCCACUAGUAUGCAGGACACAGCAGUCAGAAAUUGUCCAGUUCCUCUAGAAGUGUUUAUCGGAGGCUUAUGUGAAAGCAAAUACUAAUGAAAAUGUUAAGCGUUACAUGCAGUCCUUCACACUAAAACUACAGGCUACCGAUACGUUUUUCUGAUCCUUUAAAGGCAGAAGUCUCUGGUUUUAGAAUUCAUACCUGUGCUUCUGACAUGGAAAAACAAGUCUUAGCCUGCCUAGCAGAAAUGAAUCUCUUCAUGCCAUUCCCUCACUGAAUCAACUAUUUUUUUAAUCAAGUUACUUUGCCUUAAAUUUGAUCCAAAGUUAUGAGAUGCUACUUGAAAGAACAGAAAAGACAUAAGUGUACAUAGAUUUAAUCAGAAAGCUACCAUUUUUGAACUUGUGACAUUCCUUUGUGUCGCAAGACAUCAGUUGUUCCCCAGGCAAUGCAGCCAAAGCUGACUCUAAUUAGUAAUAAAGUUCAGAUCGUGUAAGAACUGGCUCAAAAUCUGAAGUGGUCCGUGCUGUUCUGUACUUAGAGUUGAUAUAUUUAACCCCACCCAACUUUUCUGCCAUUUCAAAGAACUGUUAAUUUUAACUGAGAUUUGCAGAUGUGUUCCAUGCUGCCGUAGUAAUAAUAUGCAGAUUUUUGUCAGUGAACUUUAAGUGGCAAAUGAUUUUAUAUUUUAAUUGAUUUUCAUGGUCCAUUUCAAAGGUUACAUGUUGUUAACCAGAAAGGAGCAAUUAUUUGCAGAAUGCAGUUACCAGGCUACAAUUUUGGCACAGGAAUACACUGUUUAAGGAUUGUUUAGAAUUUGUUUUAAGAUGAUGCCUAAUUAGACUCCUUGAAACUUUCAAAAUUAUUCCCUAUGUUCUUGGCAACUUAUUUAAGGUGUGACAGCCUCCCCUGCAUUUUGGCAGCGGACAGAAGUUUAUCCAGAACAUGGGGCUGUUUGUAUUGUGAGUCAACAGAGUGGAAAAAGCACAGAAUAAUGGGAGACAAUAGAACAGAGCAGACCUGAUUUUAAAUGAAACCUUUUAACUCUAUUCCUAGGAAAAACUCCCCUGAGGAUUUUUGGCAGCUUCCUUCUUUUAUAGCUGGUUCCAUCCCUUUGGCAGGAGAGACCAAGCUCUGUAGUGAUUAUGCGUGCUGUUCUGUUCCCGGUGAUGUCAGGGACUCUGUGUACACCAGUAAUAUUUCCUACAGUGUUUUCCAGUGUGUUGGCAGUCUGGGGAAUGCUGUUGUAGAGUUGGCAGCUACGAUAAUUUUAAGUACUGUGUCAUCUAAAUGUGUUCAAAACCUCUCCUCAUGCUGUAAUAUACUGGUAGUCUGUGUAUAUACUACCAGCAUUAUGCUGAUGCUGCUGGGAAAACUGAACUCAUCAUAGCAGUUUUGGGAGAUGCAUCUUUUUAACCUAUUAAUGUGUGUAGGACCAAAGACAGGUUGGUAUCUAGUUUCAGAUGGAAUCGCAACUCUCCAGCCCCUGAGUAGAGUAAAUUGUGAUUGAAGUUACUCAUAAUAAGAUGAGAAUAGACAGUGAGGUUGAAUUAGAAGUGAUGUCUGAGCAACGCUUUACAGCCAUUGUGGUAUCAUAGAUUGCAUGAUCUUAGGAUAAAAAGGCAAUUGGCUAUCGAGCAGGGCAUGAGGAAAUCCCCUUGGAAUUGAGCAAAUUCACUGAAACAUGGUUACACACAAAGUGACUGUUUGUUUGUACAUCCUGUGGCUGUUUCAUUCACUGCAAAGAUGCUGAGUUUAUUCAUGCUGCCAAUACCAGUGCAAGGAAUUUGGCAAGUGUGUUUCACUUCUGUUUGUGUAUGUAUCUAGGCAACCUCUCAUAGUCAGACACUGGAUUAUUACUUCCCUGCUGCGCACUGAAACACCAAAAUGCUAGCGAUUAGCAUUUUAGUUUAGAAAACAAACUGAGCUUGAGUAUUUCCGGAUGCUAUAAAUACUUCUGAUAAAUGUGUGCCAGAGCCAUUAUGUACAUGCUAAAGAACAGAAAAGUGUCUGCAUUGCUUGGUUAUCAUUUGUUCAUGAUGUGUAUCACUCACUGACUCUCUUUGUCACAUAAGUAUGUGUAUGUCUGCUGACUUGGCUAUUGGCAUGUCAGUCAGUAGUCAGGAAAAUGUGAUAGCCUGGGUUUGGUCACAGGGUACCUUCUGAAGUUGCUGGCCUGUCUUUGAGAGCACUUAUUGUUUGUGUCGGCUAGGUGAGAGUAACGAAGAAUCUUCCUUCCUUUUGAACUCUUGCCUGGAGCAUAGAUGAUUUCAUGUUGUUUUCUGUUAACAGCAGACAACCAGCACAAAGAGAUUUCACCAUGGUCGUUCAACCUUGAUGUGUUCUUUGGCUACUGGUGGUGACUUUAACUGGGGUGUGUGUGUGUGUGUGUGUG
RNA transcript from Dromaius novaehollandiae (emu), 9585 nucleotides. It is a transcript of the gene named interactor of little elongation complex ELL subunit 2, with no coding region annotated. NCBI's taxonomy places the organism in Eukaryota, Metazoa, Chordata, Aves, Casuariiformes, Dromaiidae. The transcript has 17 exons. The record is from RefSeq and is a predicted model, not a curated record.